RNAcentral lists this ribosomal RNA (1478 nucleotides) under metagenome. RNAcentral describes it as "bacterial SSU rRNA". It matches the Rfam family "Bacterial small subunit ribosomal RNA". The record is from RNAcentral.
AGAGUUUGAUCCUGGCUCAGGAUGAACGCUAGCGGCAGGCCUAAUACAUGCAAGUCGAACGGUAAAUAUUUAGCAAUAAAUAUGAGAGUGACGUACGGGUGCGUAACACGUAUGCAACCUACCCUUUACAGGCGGAUAGCUCGGGGAAACUCGAAUUAACCCGCCGUAAUAUAAUUGGAUGGCAUCAUCUGGUUAUUAAAUCUACGGAGGUAAAGGAUGGGCAUGCGUCUGAUUAGUUAGUUGGCGGGGUAACGGCCCACCAAGACGAUGAUCAGUAGGGGAACUGAGAGGUUGAUCCCCCACACUGGCACUGAGAUACGGGCCAGACUCCUACGGGAGGCAGCAGUAGGGAAUAUUGGUCAAUGGAUGGAAGUCUGAACCAGCCAUGCCGCGUGCAGGAAGAAGGCCUUCUGGGUUGUAAACUGCUUUUGCCAGGGGAUAAAAUGACCUUGCGAGGUUAAUUGAAGGUACCUGGUGAAUAAGCCACGGCUAACUACGUGCCAGCAGCCGCGGUAAUACGUAGGUGGCAAGCGUUGUCCGGAUUUAUUGGGUUUAAAGGGUGCGUAGGCGGCUUAUUAAGUCAGUGGUGAAAUACUCUAGCUCAACUAGAGGGGUGCCAUUGAUACUGAUGAGCUUGAGUACAGAUGAGGUAGGCGGAAUUGACGGUGUAGCGGUGAAAUGCUUAGAUAUCGUCAAGAACACCUAUAGCGAAGGCAGCUUACUAGGCUGUAACUGACGCUGAGGCACGAAAGUGUGGGGAUCAAACAGGAUUAGAUACCCUGGUAGUCCACACUGUAAACGUUGAUUACUCGCUGUGUGCGAUAUACAGUACGCGGCCAAGCGAAAGCGAUAAGUAAUCCACCUGGGGAGUACGCCGGCAACGGUGAAACUCAAAGGAAUUGACGGGGGUCCGCACAAGCGUGGAGCAUGUGGUUUAAUUCGAUGAUACGCGAGGAACCUUACCUGGACUAGAAUGCCCUUGACCGAUCCAGAGAUGGAUUUUUCCGCAAGGACAAGGAGCAAGGUGCUGCAUGGCCGUCGUCAGCUCGUGCCGUUAGGUGUUGGGUUAAGUCCCGCAACGAGCGCAACCCCUAUUUUUAGUUGCCAACAGGUUAAGCUGGGGACUCUAAAAAGACUGCCCCGCGCAAGCGGAGAGGAAGGAGGGGACGACGUCAGGUCAUCAUGGCCCUUACGUCCAGGGCUACACACGUGCUACAAUGGCGUAUACAGAGUGUUGCAAACCAGCGAUGGUAAGCCAAUCACAAAAAGUACGUCUCAGUUCGGAUUGCAGGCUGCAACUCGCCUGCAUGAAGUUGGAAUCGCUAGUAAUCGCGCAUCAGCAAUGGCGCGGUGAAUACGUUCCCGGACCUUGUACACACCGCCCGUCAAGCCAUGAGAGUCGGGAGGACCUGAAGGCAGUUGCUGUAAGGCGCUGUUUAGGGUUAAACCGAUGAUUAGGGCUAAGUCGGAACAAGGUA